AUGAGCUCUAGCGCUGUCGGCCUCAACCUCGGCGCCCCACCAACAGAGAAGCUCGCGAGGGGGAACUACCUCCUAUGGAAGGCGCAAGUUCUGCCGGCCCUGCGAGGCGCGCAGGUGACCGGUCUUCUCGAUGGCAGCGAUGCAGCGCCGCCGAAAACAGUGGAGGUCGCCAAGGCGGACAAAACCAUGGCCAUCGAGCCGAAUCCACCGUAUGGUCCAUGGAUUGCCAAAGAUCAGCAGGUCCUAAGUUAUCUGCUAAAUUCGCUCACUCCAGAAAUCCUCGCGCAAGUUAUCGGUAAGGAAAGUACCCUUGAUCUAUGGACCGCCCUUACCACGAUCUUUGCUGCGCAGUCGCAAUCGCGAAUAACAAACCUGAGGAUCGCCAUCUCCAACACCAAGAAGGGAAACAUGUCCAGCAAUGCUUUCAUCACCAAGAUGAAGAGCCUAGGAGACGAGCUUGCGGCAGCGGGUCGUCCGGUGACAGAUGGAGAGAUGGUGGACUACAUCCUCGUCGGACUUGAUCGGGAUUACGAUCCCGUCGUUGCAGCAGUUGGCGCCAUCAAGAAUUCAAUCUCUGUUGAUGAUCUUUUCUCACAGAUUUCCGCCUUUGAUUAG
RNAcentral lists this ribosomal RNA (615 nucleotides) under Triticum aestivum (bread wheat). RNAcentral describes it as "partial small subunit ribosomal RNA". The record is from RNAcentral. Lineage: Eukaryota; Viridiplantae; Streptophyta; Magnoliopsida; Poales; Poaceae.